Molecule: ribosomal RNA, 518 nt
Filed under: uncultured bacterium
Lineage: Bacteria
Description: bacterial SSU rRNA
Rfam family: Bacterial small subunit ribosomal RNA
Source: RNAcentral
AGAGUUUGAUUCUGGCUCAGGAUGAACGCUAGCGGCAGGCUUAACACAUGCAAGUCGAGGGGCAGCGGGAUGUAGCAAUACAUUGCCGGCGACCGGCGGAUGGGUGCGUAACGCGUAUGCAACCUACCUUAUACAGGGGAAUAACCUUUCGAAAGGGAGACUAACACCCCAUAGUAUUGAUUUAAGGCAUCUUAGAUUAAUUAAAUAUUUAUAGGUAUAAGAUGGGCAUGCGUAUGAUUAGCUAGUUGGUAAGGUAACGGCUUACCAAGGCGACGAUCAUUAGGGGUUCUGAGAGGAAGGUCCCCCACACUGGUACUGAGACACGGACCAGACUCCUACGGGAGGCAGCAGUGAGGAAUAUUGGUCAAUGGGCGCAAGCCUGAACCAGCCAUGCCGCGUGCAAGGAAGACGGCCUUAUGGGUUGUAAACCGCUUUUACAUAAGACUAACCGUAUAUUUGCGAAUAUACCUGAAUGUAUUAUGAGAAUAAGGAUCGGCUAACUCCGUGCCAGCAGCCGC